ACCUCCUAGUCUGCUUUUAGCUUGUC
RNAcentral lists this non-coding RNA (26 nucleotides) under Homo sapiens (human). Lineage: Eukaryota; Metazoa; Chordata; Mammalia; Primates; Hominidae. The record is from RNAcentral.